RNAcentral lists this long non-coding RNA (3813 nucleotides) under Sus scrofa (pig). RNAcentral's name for it is "lncRNA (ENSSSCG00005008113.1)". The record is from RNAcentral. Lineage: Eukaryota; Metazoa; Chordata; Mammalia; Artiodactyla; Suidae.
UCCAGAGCCGCUGACGUGAGGACACUUGGGGGGGCGGGGGGACCUGCUCUGGUCUUUGGGGGGCAGGGCCCGGAGGGUGGGCUUGGCAGCUGGGCGAUAGGUUUAAAAAGCCCUUUAGGAUACCUGGCAGCAGUUCCAAAGGGUGAACUUACCACGGCCGGGUGGGCAGGGCCACUGCAGCGCCAGGCAGCUACAGGUUCGUUUGCCUGUGUUUUUAUCACCCAAGUCAGGACACGCCUGGUGGCUCGGUGACCGCUGCAGAGGGCCUCUAACUUAAGUCUUUGCUUCCCUCCGGAGGACAGCCUGAUGCUGAUUCAGCCCAUCCGCUGCUCCACUCGAGGCCUCUCAGAAAUUAUAGGGCCAGUGGGGGGCUGGGGGGCGGGUCCCCACAAGCAAAUUACAAAUUGAGCCAAAGACAUCAGGGUUCACGGUGGGCUUAACUUCCUCGGGUCUCACAGUUUCUCUGGCGGGAGGGCCGAUCGCCUAGUGGGACUGUCUCCUCAUGUGUGAUUCGCGCUCCCGAGGAGUUAACGCCCAGACCUUCUCUUGCUUUUGAAAUAAAAAGAUUAAUGUAGCACAUUCACGGAAUGAAGCGAAUGGAGAUAUGGAUAUCUGAUUUCCAUUUCUCUUAAAAGACAAUCUUUAAACCAUUGCUUGGGAAGAAUUUAACAGGAAAAACUUUAAAAAAUUAAUUUGUAGUGGGGCUAUAAAGCAAACCACAUCUUAUAGAGUUUUCACACAUAUGGAAUAUAUAUUUUAUAUAUUUCAUUUAAAAAAUCCCACUAGUCAUUUCUCACAAAAAAUCAUUUAGCCUCCCCUCCCCCAAAUCAUCAUGAAGUUUGAGAAGCAUAAGGAUCAUGCAAAAGUUUGAGCUUCUUGUUUUGUUUCUUUGAAAAAAAUUAAUAAUUGAAAACUUGAGUGCAAAGGAUAAGAAAGUAUGAAAUGCUAAAGUUUUUUUAUGCAGUAAUCUUUAAUUAAGUAUAAAGACUUUUCUGAUCAUGUCACCCAUAGAUCAUUUUUAAAAUGCCAAAGUUUUGGUGGGUUUGGGUUUUUUGUUUGUUUUUUUUGCUUUUUAGGGCCGCACCCUCAGCAUAUGGAGGUCCCCAGGCUAGGGGUCGAAUUAGAGCUGUAGCCUCCUGUCUAGGCUACAGCCACAGCAACGCAGGAUGGGAGGUGAGUCUGGGACCUACACCACGGCUCACAGCAACGCCAGAUCCUUAACCCACUGCAUGAGGCCAGGGAUCAAACCCAGGUCCUCAUGGAUACCAGUCAGGUUCAUUACCACUGAGCCACAACAGGACCUCCAAAAUGCUAAAGAUUUUAAUACAUCUGAACUCCUCUUCUAUUCGCCUGUGAUGUGAUAUACCUGAUUUUUUGGGACUUUUCAGCAAACAAAUUAUACUGAUUAUAAAUAGAGUGAAUUCAGCAAAGACCAAGAAAGGCAAAACCCUCAGUCCCCUUUUCUUUGGAAAUCAGAUAUAAAUAAAAAUUUAAAUAUCAAAUCCCAAUUUAUUUUUAAGACGUAAACAACAUUCAACACAGGAGUGGUUUCUCAGAAUUAGACAAUUCUUUUAUUUAUUUUUAACUACGACAAUGCAAAGAUUGUUUAAUAAUUAGAACUCAAGGCCAAACGUCGGUAAACUUCUCUGGCUGUGUGGCUCAGCUUUGUGAAACAGUUGACAAGCGGUCCUUUGUACACUGCCUCAUUCCCAGGGUACCAGCUGUUUCCUUAGGUCGCAGGCCAUGGUGCAAGGGACAUGAGGGGCGACAGAAGCUUCCUACUGGAUGAGCGCAGAGAGCGGCAGCGAUCCUGGUCGCUGGAGGCAGCGCCUCCGUGAAUACAAAGCACCUGGCUGCGGCCCAGCCUCCGGCCCCACUUGCUGGCCUCAGAGCCGUCGGAGGAGGCCAUUUUCCUCCCUCCAGGGCCCAAGAAUCAAAGAGACAUGAGGCAGGUUAGCAGGAAAAACCCAAACCAAGUUUAGUAACAUGCAUACCUGGGAAAGACCCAGGAAAACCCAGCAACUCCUCAAAACGGCCCAAACCCUCGCCCCAAGUACCAUCAACAGCUAAGGACAAAGGAGGGCGUCCGGGGAGCGUGGCUUUGGACGAGGCGGGGGAGGAAGGCCGUUCUGACCGCGAUGGAGAAGCAAAGUUUUGGUAAAGCGACUGUUCGCGCUGCCGCGCAGAGGAGGGCCAGAGGGGGCCAGGUGCCUGCGAGUCCUCACCCGGCGGCCUGCUUGGCUGCAUCUCUUGUGAGCACGUCCCGAAACUGGCCCUCCAUCUAGAUUCUGAUUCAGGCAGCUACGGCGGAUGCCAGAGCUUCUUCCUGAGUCUUCUGGGCUUGUUUGUUUUCGGCUCAAAAUAAUCCUGUACCAAAGAGACAUUUUGGGGAGGCAAGCUUCACUGCACAGCCCUGUUUUCAUCAGACAGCCGGCAAUACAGGAGGACCCGGGAUGUCGGAGCUGGAGAAGGCCGUGGUGGCCCUGAUUGACGUCUUCCAUCAGUAUUCUGGGAGGGAGGGGGACAAGCACAAGCUGAAGAAAUCCGAACUCAAGGAGCUCAUCAACAGCGAGCUUUCCCACUUCCUGGAGGAAAUCAAAGAGCAGGAGGUCGUGGACAAAGUCAUGGAGACACUGGACAGCGAUGAAGAUGGCGAGUGUGACUUCCAGGAAUUCAUGGCUUUUGUCGCCAUGGUUACCACUGCCUGCCACGAGUUCUUUGAACACGAGUGAACUGGAGAAAACCGACACGCAGUUCCUGCAGCAGAGACGUGCGCGUCGUGCAGGGCAGUGGAGGCAGGGCUUUGGCAGGACAGUAGGCGCUGAGCUUUCCGGCUGUGUUGUAGCUAAUUAGGAAGCUUGAUUUGCUUUGUGAAUGGAAAAUUUAAACCUCUUUCCAGGGGCAGUUUUUAGUGGCCCCCGUCAUUGCUCCUGCAAUAGUAAGCAUACAGUUAGCUGACUGGUCCCAGGACUGCUGGUAAUCUUCAUUUAGGAAAGUCAGUUCUCGGUCACGAAGCGUGUGCUCUCCUAGCUGUGUAGACCCUUAGCCCAGAAAAAACAAACUGACCAGGAGCAUUGGGGUUUUCUUAAGCUUCCACUACAUUUAAAAAUACGAAGCCUUGUCCACUAUCCUUCGCAAAGGCUGCCCUUCGUUAAAUCUGUUCCUCACUGGGGCAAAUGAGACCUAUCAUGGGAGGGUGGCCUGACCAUCUGUGCCACCCACCCAAAGAGCGCGGCCACAUCUAGAUCCCUUCCCUGCAGUGUGCUGUGAUUGUCGCGCAUGUGAUGCUGCCAGUUCUGGGUGGAACAUCUGCCUCAGAAAGCAAGUGCUGACAUUAUCACUGUGAUUGGAACUGAGAAUGGAAAUUCUACCCUCGGUGGGGUUCUCCUCAGAGGAACACUCGCUGCCAGAUCUGGGGGGGCCACGUGGCUCAGGUGGCACGAGCGGGAGCAGGGGAGCUCAGGUGGGUCUCACGCUGCCUUGGAGACAGCUGUGCCCACCUCCUGCCCAGUCUGUAGAAGGAGGGCUUCCGGAAGAUGUGUCUGGUCCGCUGGAGAAGGUCGUUCCUGACCUGUGGAAUGUGAAGCCAGGGAGCCUAUUUAUGGCCUUUAUGCUUCUGUGUCCACAAAUUCAAAUACAUCAAGUUUCAAAUCAAAUAGUCAAGUUGCAAAUACUAGAAAUCACUUCCAAGAAAAUUCAAAUUACGCUUUCCACCCUUUUUCUGAUUUGCUGUUUUUAAGGACAGACUUGGGAGAUUCACGAACCAAUUGAUCGCUUGUAUUUGCAUUAAAUAAAAAGCAUUGUAACAAGUCU